AACGAACGCUGGCGGCAGUCUUAACACAUGCAAGUCGAGCGCCCCGCACGGGGAGCGGCAGAAGGGUGAGUAACGCGUGGGAACGUACCUUUUGGUUCGGAACAACUCCGUGAAACUGGAGCUAAUACCGGAUAAGCCCUAACGGGGAAAGAUUUAUCGCCGAAAGAUCGUCCCGCGUCUGAUUAGCUAGUUGGUGAGGUAACGGCUCACCAAGGCGACGAUCAGUAGCUGGUCUGAGAGGAUGAUCAGCCACACUGGGACUGAGACACGGCCCAGACUCCUACGGGAGGCAGCAGUGGGGAAUACUGGACAAUGGGCGCAAGACUGAUCCAGCCAUGACGCGUGAGAGAUGAAGGGCUUAGGGUUGUAAAGCUCUUUUGUCCGGGAAGAGAAUGACUGUACCGGAAGAAUAAGCCCAGGCUAACUUAGUG
RNAcentral lists this ribosomal RNA (431 nucleotides) under uncultured bacterium. RNAcentral's name for it is "partial 16S ribosomal RNA". It matches the Rfam family "Bacterial small subunit ribosomal RNA", at positions 29 to 507 of the family's 1533-position model. The record is from RNAcentral.